UGGAAGAUUUAUUGGAAAUAAAUAAAUGUGCUUGUGAGUUGAUCACACUAUUUACAUAUUUUUCAGAUGUACAUGUUCCAUGAAAUGAGGGUCCCUGGGAAGAUGAUACAACUAAUAAGUUUAAUUGAUGAGGAGGCUGGAACUAGGACCGCAUGGUCAUUUCAUGGUUGGAGCCCUGCAGCCUGAGCUGGUGAAUCAGUGGCUGCUGUCUUUGGUGCUGAAGCUCUGUCGGCCUCUCAGGGACAGGAAUGAGAAGCUGUGAAACUUGCAACGUAAAAUGUGGAGGAUCUGGCACGGAAAGGGGAGCUGAGCAUUAAACAGCUGACGUGUUUGUUGUUAUUCUUAUGUCCCUUUGGACCAUACUUGGGAGGAGCUAUUAUUAAAGAAGUUACAGAUCAUACAUUAAUUCCACCAGUUCCUGCCGAAUGCUUACAGAAAUCUAACCCUUAUAAAGGCCAUUUGAGGUACAAGAAAGGCGCUCAGGAAAUCU
Molecule: long non-coding RNA, 490 nt
Filed under: Fukomys damarensis (Damara mole-rat)
Lineage: Eukaryota; Metazoa; Chordata; Mammalia; Rodentia; Bathyergidae
Description: lncRNA (ENSFDAG00000028596.1)
Source: RNAcentral